GUGCUCACUUCGGCAGCACAUAUACUAAAAUUGGAGCGAUACAGUGAAGAUUAGCAUGGCCUGUGCACAAGGAUGACACGCAAAUUCAUGAAGCGUUCCAUAUUUUU
Delphinapterus leucas (beluga whale) is the source of this 107-nucleotide small nuclear RNA. The record is from Ensembl. Lineage: Eukaryota; Metazoa; Chordata; Mammalia; Artiodactyla; Monodontidae.